This 494-nucleotide ribosomal RNA is filed under the name uncultured bacterium. RNAcentral's name for it is "partial 16S ribosomal RNA". It matches the Rfam family "Bacterial small subunit ribosomal RNA", at positions 28 to 504 of the family's 1533-position model. The record is from RNAcentral.
GACGAACGCUGGCGGCGUGCCUAAUACAUGCAAGUUGAGCGCUGAAGGUUGGUACUUGUACCGACUGGAUGAGCAGCGAACGGGUGAGUAACGCGUGGGGAAUCUGCCUUUGAGCGGGGGACAACAUUUGGAAACGAAUGCUAAUACCGCAUAAAAACUUUAAACACAAGUUUUAAGUUUGAAAGAUGCAAUUGCAUCACUCAAAGAUGAUCCCGCGUUGUAUUAGCUAGUUGGUGAGGUAAAGGCUCACCAAGGCGAUGAUACAUAGCCGACCUGAGAGGGGGAUCGGCCACAUUGGGACUGAGACACGGCCCAAACCCCUACGGGAGGCAGCAGUAGGGAAUCUUCGGCAAUGGACGAAAGUCUGACCGAGCAACGCCGCGUGAGUGAAGAAGGUUUUCGGAUCGUAAAACUCUGUUGGUAGAGAAGAACGUUGGUGAGAGUGGAAAGCUCAUCAAGUGACGGUAACUACCCAGAAAGGGACGGCUAACUAC